UGUGUGACUGCGUACCUUUUGUAUAAUGGGUCAGCGACUUAUAUUCUGUAGCAAGGUUAACCGAAUAGGGGAGCCGGAGGGAAACCGAGUCUUAAUUGGGCGUUAAGUUGCAGGGUAUAGACCCGAAACCCGGUGAUCUAGCCAUGGGCAGGUUGAAGGUUGGGUAACACUAACUGGAGGACCGAACCGACUAAUGUUGAAAAAUUAGCGGAUGACCUGUGGCUGGGGGUGAAAGGCCAAUCAAACCGGGAGAUAGCUGGUUCUCCCCGAAAGCUAUUUAGGUAGCGCCUCGUGAAUUCAUCUCCGGGGGUAGAGCACUGUUUCGGCUAGGGGGCCAUCCCGGCUUACCAACCCGAUGCAAAC
This 363-nucleotide ribosomal RNA is filed under the name Salmonella enterica subsp. enterica serovar Kandla. RNAcentral's name for it is "partial 23S ribosomal RNA". It matches the Rfam family "Bacterial large subunit ribosomal RNA", at positions 590 to 954 of the family's 2925-position model. The record is from RNAcentral. Lineage: Bacteria; Pseudomonadati; Pseudomonadota; Gammaproteobacteria; Enterobacterales; Enterobacteriaceae.